AUGGCUGCCCGCACCACCGUCCCCUUGCUCCCGGAGGGGGCGACGGCGUUGCGGAUUCCCACCGACCGCCCGGCCUUCUACGACGUCUUCAAGGGCUACGAUGUCCUCCCGGCCGCCGCCGCCGUCCGCCUGGCCGUCCCGCCGUCGCAGACGCCCCGGUCCCGUCCGGAGCUCGCGUACGUUACGCUGCGCCGCAGCCCGGAGGAGGUGCUCUACGCGAAGCGCUUCGCGUACGCGUACAUCACCCCGGGGACGGGGACGGACCCGGUGCCCCUCAUCCGCCGCGUCUUCCGCGCCCUGGCCCCCGACCUGCCGCACACCUUGGAGGUGUUCCCGACCUGCGGGUACGGCGACGCCACGCUCCGCUUCGGCACGCCCGCCGAGCGGGAGGCGGCCAUGCGCAGGCAGCCGUUCGAGGUCGACGGCGUCACGGUGAAGCUCCUGCGGGAUACCGAGAGCGUCCCCAACGUCCCCGUCCCCGAGACCGACUGCAUGGCCCACGUCGCCCUGCACGACUACCCCGUGGAGCAGCGGACCGCCGAGGACAUCGAGGACAACUGCCGGCGCUUCGGGUUCCUGCGCGAGAUCGACCCGGCCUGCUUCACGGCGCCCGACCUCUCCACGGUCCGCGUCGUCCUUGAGCUGGGGCACCCUCGAGAGAUCCCGCGCGAGCUCCGGAUCGCCUACAUGUUUGACGACUCCUCCAGCGUCGUCCCCGUCCAGAUCGUCAAGGUCUGGAACUGCGCGCAUUCCUACGACGCCCGGGGACGCUACGUGCGUCUCUUCCACGCCCCGGCCUGA
RNAcentral lists this ribosomal RNA (801 nucleotides) under Triticum aestivum (bread wheat). Its description in RNAcentral is "partial small subunit ribosomal RNA". Lineage: Eukaryota; Viridiplantae; Streptophyta; Magnoliopsida; Poales; Poaceae. The record is from RNAcentral.